This 1426-nucleotide ribosomal RNA is filed under the name Pseudomonas aeruginosa. Its description in RNAcentral is "bacterial SSU rRNA". It matches the Rfam family "Bacterial small subunit ribosomal RNA". Lineage: Bacteria; Pseudomonadati; Pseudomonadota; Gammaproteobacteria; Pseudomonadales; Pseudomonadaceae. The record is from RNAcentral.
UGGGGCGGGCCUACACAUGCAAGUCGAGCGGAUGAAGGGAGCUUGCUCCUGGAUUCAGCGGCGGACGGGUGAGUAAUGCCUAGGAAUCUGCCUGGUAGUGGGGGAUAACGUCCGGAAACGGGCGCUAAUACCGCAUACGUCCUGAGGGAGAAAGUGGGGGAUCUUCGGACCUCACGCUAUCAGAUGAGCCUAGGUCGGAUUAGCUAGUUGGUGGGGUAAAGGCCUACCAAGGCGACGAUCCGUAACUGGUCUGAGAGGAUGAUCAGUCACACUGGAACUGAGACACGGUCCAGACUCCUACGGGAGGCAGCAGUGGGGAAUAUUGGACAAUGGGCGAAAGCCUGAUCCAGCCAUGCCGCGUGUGUGAAGAAGGUCUUCGGAUUGUAAAGCACUUUAAGUUGGGAGGAAGGGCAGUAAGUUAAUACCUUGCUGUUUUGACGUUACCAACAGAAUAAGCACCGGCUAACUUCGUGCCAGCAGCCGCGGUAAUACGAAGGGUGCAAGCGUUAAUCGGAAUUACUGGGCGUAAAGCGCGCGUAGGUGGUUCAGCAAGUUGGAUGUGAAAUCCCCGGGCUCAACCUGGGAACUGCAUCCAAAACUACUGAGCUAGAGUACGGUAGAGGGUGGUGGAAUUUCCUGUGUAGCGGUGAAAUGCGUAGAUAUAGGAAGGAACACCAGUGGCGAAGGCGACCACCUGGACUGAUACUGACACUGAGGUGCGAAAGCGUGGGGAGCAAACAAUUAGAUACCCUGGUAGUCCACGCCGUAAACGAUGUCGACUAGCCGUUGGGAUCCUUGAGAUCUUAGUGGCGCAGCUAACGCGAUAAGUCGACCGCCUGGGGAGUACGGCCGCAAGGUUAAAACUCAAAUGAAUUGACGGGGCCCGCACAAGCGGUGGAGCAUGUGGUUUAAUUCGAAGCAACGCGAAGAACCUUACCUGGCCUUGACAUGCUGAGAACUUUCCAGAAUGGAUUGGUGCCUUCGGGAACUCAGACACAGGUGCUGCAUGGCUGUCGUCAGCUCGUUCGUGAGAUGUUGGGUUAAGUCCCGUAACGACGCAACCCUUGUCCUUAGUUACCAGCACCUCGGGUGGGCACUCUAAGGAGACUGCCGGUGACAAACCGGAGGAAGGUGGGGAUGACGUCAAGUCAUCAUGGCCCUUACGGCCAGGGCUACACACGUGCUACAAUGGUCGGUACAAAGGGUUGCCAAGCCGCGAGGUGGAGCUAAUCCCAUAAAACCGAUCGUAGUCCGAUCGCAGUCUGCAACUCGACUGCGUGAAGUCGGAAUCGCUAGUAAUCGUGAAUCAGAAUGUCACGGUGAAUACGUUCCGGCCUUGUACACACCGCCCCACACCAUGGGAGUGGGUGCUCCAGAAUAGCUAGUCAACCGCAAGGGGGACGGUUACCACGGAGUAUUUAAGUGG